UGAAUGUCAAAAUAUAAAUAAAAAUGUU
Molecule: small RNA, 28 nt
Filed under: Bombyx mori (domestic silkworm)
Lineage: Eukaryota; Metazoa; Arthropoda; Insecta; Lepidoptera; Bombycidae
Description: ovarian small RNA-31196
Source: RNAcentral